AGAAUUUGAUCCUGGCUCAGGAUGAACGCCGGCGGUGUGCCUAAUACAUGCAAGUCGAGCGCACUGGCCCAACAGAAAUGACGUGCUUGCACUGAUUUGACGUUGGAUUCCCAGUGAGCGGCGGACGGGUGAGUAACACGUGGGCAACCUGCCCCAAAGCGGGGGAUAACAUUUGGAAACAGGUGCUAAUACCGCAUAACUUGGAAAACCACAUGGUUUUCCAAUAAAAGAUGGUUUCGGCUAUCACUUUGGGAUGGGCCCGCGGUGCAUUAGCUAGUUGGUAAGGUAACGGCUUACCAAGGCGAUGAUGCAUAGCCGAGUUGAGAGACUGAUCGGCCACAAUGGAACUGAGACACGGUCCAUACUCCUACGGGAGGCAGCAGUAGGGAAUCUUCCACAAUGGGCGCAAGCCUGAUGGAGCAACACCGCGUGAGUGAAGAAGGGUUUCGGCUCGUAAAACUCUGUUGUUGGAGAAGAACGUGCGUAAGAGUAACUGUUUACGCAGUGACGGUAUCCAACCAGAAAGGUCACGGCUAACUACGUGCCAGCAGCCGCGUUAUUAA
This 563-nucleotide ribosomal RNA is filed under the name Limosilactobacillus oris. Its description in RNAcentral is "bacterial SSU rRNA". It matches the Rfam family "Bacterial small subunit ribosomal RNA", at positions 8 to 526 of the family's 1533-position model. The record is from RNAcentral. Lineage: Bacteria; Bacillati; Bacillota; Bacilli; Lactobacillales; Lactobacillaceae.